This is an RNA transcript of Sus scrofa (pig), 2161 nucleotides long. It is a transcript of the gene named MYC associated factor X, with no coding region annotated. Lineage: Eukaryota; Metazoa; Chordata; Mammalia; Artiodactyla; Suidae. The record is from RefSeq and is a predicted model, not a curated record.
CGACCGGGCGUGCGUGCCGCCGUUGAUCCGGUGCUGCAGUGAGGAGGUGGUUCUCGCCCGUGUUGUGUGUGUGUGUGUGUGUGUGUGAGUGUGUGUGUGAGUGAGAGAGCGAGUGAGUGAGUGUGUGUGUGUGUGUGGAGAUUCGGCUUGUUGUUGUCGGUGACUUCCCCCUCCCCUCCACCCCUCCCCCUUCCCUGCCGCCGCUGCAGUGGCCGCUCCCUGGGCCGUAGGAAAUGAGCGAUAACGAUGACAUCGAGGUGGAGAGCGACGAAGAGCAACCGAGGUUUCAAUCUGCGGCUGACAAACGGGCUCAUCAUAAUGCACUGGAACGAAAACGUAGGGACCACAUCAAAGACAGCUUUCACAGUUUGCGGGACUCAGUCCCAUCACUCCAAGGAGAGAAGGCAUCCCGGGCCCAAAUCCUAGACAAAGCCACAGAGUAUAUCCAGUAUAUGCGAAGGAAAAACCACACACACCAGCAAGAUAUUGAUGACCUCAAGCGGCAGAAUGCUCUUCUGGAGCAGCAAGGGGAAAGCGAGAGCUGAUCAAGUUCUUUGUUCCUGGGGAAUUCACUUCUCUUCCUCCCUCAUGGAAGAUGCAAGUAAAAGGAAAUGCAAGUAACCACCUGGUCCGUGCACUGGAGAAGGCGAGGUCGAGUGCCCAACUGCAGACCAACUACCCCUCCUCAGACAACAGCCUCUACACCAACGCCAAGGGCAGCACCAUCUCUGCCUUCGAUGGGGGCUCAGACUCCAGCUCGGAGUCGGAGCCCGAAGAGCCCCAAAGCAGGAAGAAGCUCCGGAUGGAGGCCAGCUAAGCUCCGCGGGGCAGGCCAGCAAUAAAAACUGUCUGUCUCCUCCGUCGUCUUAUCCUCCUUUCAGUUCAUCUUUAGAACCCUCAGAACCAUUUAAGAGACUUUUUUUUUUCUCUUUCUCUUUUUUUGUUUUUUAAAUUUUAUUUUUAUGUAGAAGCUCUUGGACAACAGCUCUCAUUCUCUUUCCCCAUCCCCACUGGGUUUUUUUUUUGUUGUUUUGUUUUUUUUUUUUCAAUGUUUCCCUUCAGAGAUUCCCUGUCCCCACCAGGAAUUUUUAAACCAAAACACCCAAACUUGGCAGCUUUUUCUGUGGAGGACAGACGGCCGGCCAGACCUCUGAGCACAUGGUGUCCUGACCACCCACCAGCUCCUCCAGCCCUGUCGGGCCCGUGCCCGGGGGACCCCUGCCCCUCUCAGGCCUCUCCUCCCGGGCCACCCUCACCUCCGUUUGAUAGACUUUGUGAAUCUGUGGACUGCUCUACUUUAAGAAGAUGACCAGUUUGGAGUAAUCAGAAUUAAUCCCCCUUCUUUUUAAGGAUUUUUUUUCCUAAAAAGCUAUUCAUCGCUCCUAAUGAAAGACCAGAUCCUUGAAGAAGUUUGUGGUAUAAAAGGAAGUGGGGACAGAUUGGCAGCGCAGAGUCCUUGGCCUGUUUCACUCCUGCUUCUCUCAGCCAGCCUUAGGGAGGGCCGCGUGAUGCUCGUGUGGUAUGUGGGGAACGGCAGCAGUGAAGCAGCAGCCGCCAAGGGGUAGUAGGGGGUGGGACAGGGAGGGAGGAUCGGGUGGGGUAGAGGUUUUGUAUUGAGGGCCAGUGAUGAUGUUUUGAUAUUUAUUUCCUGCUACUGAAAUUUGAAUCUGAGUGGAUUGUCCCUGUUUCUGAUGAUGUCGGUAUUGCAAAGCGACAGAUUCAUAAAGCAAUGAUCAAAUCUUCCUUUCUUUCCGUGUGUAUUUCUAAGAAAUAGAGUCAACUGAUUUUGUAUGUAAAUACCAAGAGCAGUUCACCUGGUACUAAACCCGCACCUCAGUGCGGACCCCUCCCCACCCUCACCCCGCUCCCCUUCCACCUGUCCUGGAAACCUGUCCCCGUUGUGUGAUCCAGCCCUGGUCUGGCUGCGGUCAGCAGAUCCCAGUGAAGGGUUUUGUGUGUUUAGGCCUCAUUUCUUUGUCUUUUUCCUACUCUGUUCCCGGCAUUUGCUGAUUUCUAGUGUAUACUCUGUAGUCUCAGUCCGUGUUUGAUUCCAUUCCAUGGAAAUAAAAAGUAUGUUGUACAUACUGCUAAAAUAUCGUCUUGCAAGUUAAGGCUUCCCCCUUUACUAUAAGACUAUAAAUAAAAACUUAUUUUAUCCUUC